Non-coding RNA from Lemur catta (Ring-tailed lemur), 671 nucleotides. The record is from the annotation of a RefSeq genome assembly. Lineage: Eukaryota; Metazoa; Chordata; Mammalia; Primates; Lemuridae.
UUGCAGAUUCUGGGUGAUGAUGUCAUUGACACAAAGAUGAAAAUGCAAAAGAGGCAGACUUAAAUCAACUUCCUGGUGAGACCAGCUGCAUAUUGGCCAUGGCUUUGCAGAGCACUCUGGAAGCAGCGUGGCUGGGGCUUCUCCUCAGCAUUCUCUGGAAGGUUGCACAGAGCAAGGACCAAGUGUUUCAGCCUCCCACGGUGGCAUCUUCAGAGGGAGCUGUGGCAGAAAUUUCCUGUAAUCACUCUGUGUCCAAUGCUUACAACUUCUUCUGGUACCUUCAGUUCCCAGGAUGUGCUCCAAGACUUCUUGUUAAGGGCUCAAAGCCGUCUCAGCAGGGACGAUACAACAUGACAUAUGAACGGUUCUCUUCAUCACUGCUCAUCCUCCAGGUGCAGGAGGCAGAUGCGGCUGUUUACUACUGUGCUGUGGAGGACACAGAGGCAGGGAACCCAUCAAGAGCUGAACAGAAACAGAGAGAGAUCAUGGCCUUUUGCAGGAGGCAGAAAAGAGAAGAACAAUAAACACCCCUCCCACCAAUUUUGUAUUCCCUAAGCUUUUUCAUUUCACUGCUAUCAGAAAAAAAAAAAUUGAGUCCAGACACACUAUCAGCAAACGUCUAGAAGAAAAUACAAUAUUAAAGAGGGAUUAAUUAUCAAUAAUGGUGCUGU